RNAcentral lists this ribosomal RNA (253 nucleotides) under uncultured bacterium. RNAcentral describes it as "partial 16S ribosomal RNA". It matches the Rfam family "Bacterial small subunit ribosomal RNA", at positions 524 to 776 of the family's 1533-position model. The record is from RNAcentral.
UACGUAGGGGGCUAGCGUUGUCCGGAAUCAUUGGGCGUAAAGCGCGUGUAGGCGGUCCGGUAAGUCCGCUGUGAAAGUCGGGGGCUCAACCCUCGGAUGCCGGUGGAUACUGUCGGGCUUGAGUACGGAAGAGGCGAGUGGAAUUCCUGGUGUAGCGGUGGAAUGCGCAGAUAUGAGGAGGAACACCAACGGCGAAGGCAGCUCGCUGGGACGGUACUGACACUAAGGCGCGAAAGCGUGGGGAGCGAACAGG